AGCCGUGCUAUCCAUUGUUGUCUACAGCCUCCCAUUGUCGACGUUGUCGCCACCAUAGCCGUCGCCACUAUAGCACACAACGACCACAGUUACCACAAACACAGUAAAAUCCCUAGAUAACAAUCACAACACAAAGCAAAACCCAAAACCAAGCCCUUGCUAUCUAUCACCAUCCACAGCGCCAGUAGGUGCCCCAUCGCCACCAUUGUCUAUGGGCACUACUAUCACUGCUAACACAAAACAAAAUCCCCAAAUCACAAUCACAAUCACAACACAAAGCAAAAGACCCCAAAUCAACCUCUAUAUUGAUUUGAUGAUCUGUUGACCCUUAAACUUCCUUUCGCCACCAAAUCAAUGGGUCUGGCUGAAGUUGACAAGCCCAUCACCCCAUGCCAUGUGAAGCUUAAAAUCAAGAACUUUCAUUCACAAACAACACUCUUUCUCCCCUAUACCUUUGCAACAAAAGACCCCUCCAUUUUUAUCGCAAGCUUCCACCUUGACCUCGACACCUUCCGUCACCUUUCAAACAAGCGUAUUACCCUCAAAAUAUCAAUCAUCGUUGACUUUAUUGGACAUAUUUGUAGAGUCAGUUAGAGGGAGGGACGAUGGUAACAACGACGGGUGUAAGUGAAAAUUUAGAGCUGUAAUGAGGGAGAAAACGUGAAAGACGAUGAGAAAAGGAGUUUGUGAGAGGUGGAAAAAACAACGGUGGCAUGACACUCCGAGGAUGGCAUGAUCAGUAUUAGGUGGCGAUGGUGACGAGAUUGGAUUUCCCUAUUUUUGGGUAGUUG
RNAcentral lists this long non-coding RNA (791 nucleotides) under Olea europaea subsp. europaea. Lineage: Eukaryota; Viridiplantae; Streptophyta; Magnoliopsida; Lamiales; Oleaceae. The record is from RNAcentral.